This 512-nucleotide ribosomal RNA is filed under the name uncultured bacterium. RNAcentral's name for it is "partial 16S ribosomal RNA". It matches the Rfam family "Bacterial small subunit ribosomal RNA", at positions 28 to 523 of the family's 1533-position model. The record is from RNAcentral.
GACGAACGCUGGCGGCGUGCCUAAUACAUGCAAGUAGAACGCUGAAGAAAGGAGCUUGCUUCUUUUGGAUGAGUUGCGAACGGGUGAGUAACGCGUAGGUAACCUGCCUUGUAGCGGGGGAUAACUAUUGGAAACGAUAGCUAAUACCGCAUAACAGCUUUUGACACAUGUUAGAAGCUUGAAAGAUGCAAUUGCAUCACUACGAGAUGGACCUGCGUUGUAUUAGCUAGUAGGUGGGGUAACGGCCUACCUAGGCGACGAUACAUAGCCGACCUGAGAGGGUGAUCGGCCACACUGGGACUGAGACACGGCCCAGACUCCUACGGGAGGCAGCAGUAGGGAAUCUUCGGCAAUGGGGGCAACCCUGACCGAGCAACGCCGCGUGAGUGAUGAAGGUCUUCGGAUCGUAAAACUCUGUUGUUAGGGAAGAACAAAUUUGUUAGUAACUGAACAAGUCUUGACGGUACCUAACCAGAAAGCCACGGCUAACUACGUGCUAGCCGCCGCCGUAA